This 194-nucleotide non-coding RNA is filed under the name bovine gut metagenome. The record is from RNAcentral.
AGAACUGAUAAUUCAAGCGAGUGGAAUGAAGGAGUAACGCCCUGAAACGCUCCCCCUGAUACUCCGACUGGCUCUGCUCAAAAGGCAGAUGUUCAGAAGCUCGGUGAAGUCGGCAGAGAGCAGCCCAAACAGGCAAAGCUGUGGAAAGUGUCCCAGAGGUGGGAUAUGCUGCCUAUAUGCCGGGGGUCUACAAA